UACGUAGGGUGCAAGCGUUAUCCGGAAUUAUUGGGCGUAAAGAGCUCGUAGGCGGUUUGUCGCGUCUGCUGUGAAAACUGGAGGCUCAACCUCCAGCCUGCAGUGGGUACGGGCAGGCUAGAGUGCGGUAGGGGAGAUUGGAAUUCCUGGUGUAGCGGUGGAAUGCGCAGAUAUCAGGAGGAACACCGAUGGCGAAGGCAGAUCUCUGGGCCGUAACUGACGCUGAGGAGCGAAAGCGUGGGGAGCGAACAGG
Molecule: ribosomal RNA, 253 nt
Filed under: uncultured bacterium
Lineage: Bacteria
Description: partial 16S ribosomal RNA
Rfam family: Bacterial small subunit ribosomal RNA
Source: RNAcentral